AAUACAGUUCAUGUUUUGUUUUUUGUAGUCUUUUUUUUUAACUCUCACUUCUUUUCAUUUUCUGUGCUCCUCUGCAGGUGCUGAAGAGGAUGAAUACGUGAAACCCAGAGUAAUCUCUGACAUGAAGAUUUACUCUCUGAGAGAGCAAAGGGUCCUGGGAAUCUGGUGUCUCUUUCCAGUGAUCAUUAGGGAAGAGGCUGGGUACAACUUGGACAGGUCGCUAGUCCUUCGCAAUGCAACACAAAACACAAACAGCCCUGCACAAACAUACUGAUGGGGCCAUUUGCGAACCUACCAGUCAUGUUUUUGGACUGUGGGAGGAAGCCAGAGUACCAUCCAAACUCCAGGCAGAGAGAACCAGGGCUUCUUGCUACAAGGCAACAGUUCUACAAGCACAUUUACCUUUUUGGAAGCAAAAUAUGUAGAAGUGAAGCUUUAAUGCUCAGAGCCCCUCAAGAAAAACUCACACAAAUUUCUAAGAGGUUCCUGUUGGAAAAAUUGGUUUAAAAGUCAAAUAAAUUUUUUUUUUUUUUUUUUUUUUUUUUUUUUAAUCCUUCUAGCUCCUUGCUUUACUUUGAACGACACAUUUUAUGAAGGAGGACUGAAAUGUUUGUGAUGGUUCACACACAUUAUUGUGAUGUUAUAUUUUAUUUGCUGGAAAAUGUGUCGGGUCAAAUCUAGACCAUGCCAGAAGCUUUGCUGCCAACUAGUGGUUAAACUUGUAUUUUCAUUUAAAGUUUUAAAUGUCUUUUUCACCCAAAACAAUAUAUCAAUUUAAUUCCGUUUAUAAAUAAACUGAAUUAGCAACAGUAGCUGUGUGUGCAGUGUUCAUGCAACACUGUGAAGGAGCGAUAAGAAUCCAUGAUGGCACUUUUUAAUCUUGAUCCAUGUUACUAAAGUCUGUAUGAAAUAAUGGCUACUAAAAGUAACACUUAUGUAAAAGGAUAAAAUUUGCUUCUCAGAGUAAACUUUUUGAACAGUAAAAUUAGAAUUGGAUGUUUUUCAGAUCUUGGUUAUAGUAUCAACAGAUUGUUUUCUGCAGCAUGCUGAGGUACAUGCAGAUAGUUACCAGGCUUUUAGUCGGAUUUCUCAGCAAAACGCAUAAUGAAUACAUUUGUAGUGCCAAGCAUUUCAGACAAUCCAACUUUUGAUUUCUUUUAUAUUUAUUUCUAGGUUUGUCGCACAUCUUCAUUGUUGGUGCCCGUAAAUGCCAAGAGAAGGCUCGACAGUUUUCUAAAUGUCAAUGUUUCUAUAUUUAAAUUUGCUUUGGGAUUAAUAAAGUAUUUUUGAAUUUGAAAUAAUAAAGAAAAAAUAUGAGCAGAUGUUGAGACGUCUGCAGACAUUACUACUUGUUCUUACAAAAGAGUGUUUCUGAUUAACUGAGCCUUGCUUUUUUUGUUUGUUUGUUUUGACUGUCAGGGAAUUGUGAGAAUUAGCAGAUGUACCUUCUUGUUCCAUUUGAAUUUUGAGUGCUGUAAAUAUUUUUGUCACUGGGUUUUUGGGGUUGUUUUUUUUCUUGUAUUAUAAAUACAGAAAUGAAAGGUUGAAUUAAAUGUCCUCUGGGAUGAACUGCACAAACAGCACAGAUCAAAACGUUUUUAUUAGCUAAGAGAAAUUAGUUUCUGCUAAUAGUUUUCCAGUUUGCCACUUUAACUAAACCAGUUAAAUCUUUUUGUAACAUAGUCGGAUCUCUGCCGUUUUAACAAUCCCACUUCCAGCCAUUUUGUUGCCUCUUAAAGCAUUAUUGACGAGAUGACAAUAAUCAUCUUCAAGUUGGCUGUCAUAUUGAUGUUGGGCCAGAUUUCUUUACAUUUCUUUUUUUUGUUUUUCCUUGAGCAUUAUCUUCUUUGUUUCAGUUAAACGCCUCUAGGGGGCAGCAAAAGGUUGUUUUGUUCCACCCAGCGCUGUGUCCCUCAUCUCCACACAGGUGAGAUAAAAAAAAAAAAUCUACAUGCAUGAGUGAGAAGCGACUUGAGUAUGAAUAUAGUGAUUUAGUUUGACUUUCUAGAAAGUAACUGUUUUCUUUCUUUUGUUUUCUUACCUCAGGCCUCUAAUUAAUCCACCAACCUGCUUUAGCUGGAGGGUCUGCUCUCCGCUAGAGGAUAGAGAGCAAAUGGAGCUUUAUGAAGAACCUUCUCUAUGCUGCCUGAUGUGCCAGAGUCUGAAACCAAACUUGCUUCUUGCAGAAUGUGUCGCAUCACUUCUGAAACUAAAAUAUAUGAUCCAGUUGCUCUUUUUUUCUGCCUUCCAUAUUGGCCUUAAUUUAACACCAGAAAAUGAAACCCAUUAAUCUGUGAAAUGCUGCAAGAAAGGAGGUUGUAUCUGGAAAUAAUAUACACCAGUAAUCCAUAUUUUAGGGCUUCAGGCAGAUCACAAGUGCUCACAGCAGUGUGCUGUCCUUUUUUGGGCUAUUAUUGUAUUUUCCUCCCAUCCUCCUUCCAAUCCUAUUCUAGGUUGCUCCUCUCAUCUCACCAUCGCAGGAAUGUACCUUAUUUCUGUGGAGUCCAUCAAAUAUGCUUCAUGUUACAACAGCUCCGACCUUUGACUUGCGUGUGUCCAUUCCAAAUGAAUUGAGAAGCACUGCUGUACGGGUCUAUCAGUCACACAGCAGAGCGCUGGGUAGACUGUACAAUUUACAAAUGCAUCUUAGUUAAAAUUGUUCCGGUUAAAUCCUGCUAAAAUGCACCAUCUGCUGGUAAAAAGUUGUAAUGUAAUGUUGUAACUUUAGAAAGAACAAAGUAUUAUGGGUAAUCCUGUGAAAUCACACUCACUCUUUGAAACUCCCAACCCCUCUCUCCCCCGAAGGAAGGUUGAAGGAGCAUGGAAAACACACUCGCCU
Long non-coding RNA from Poecilia latipinna (sailfin molly), 2839 nucleotides. RefSeq lists it as uncharacterized. The transcript is spliced from 3 exons. The record is from RefSeq and is a predicted model, not a curated record. NCBI's taxonomy places the organism in Eukaryota, Metazoa, Chordata, Actinopteri, Cyprinodontiformes, Poeciliidae.